This is a long non-coding RNA of Onychomys torridus (southern grasshopper mouse), 996 nucleotides long. RefSeq lists it as uncharacterized. The transcript is spliced from 3 exons. NCBI's taxonomy places the organism in Eukaryota, Metazoa, Chordata, Mammalia, Rodentia, Cricetidae. The record is from RefSeq and is a predicted model, not a curated record.
UGCCUUGUGUGGGUAGCUGCCAAGAUUUCAAGAUUUCAAGCCUGUCUUGGAACUUUCCUCAGGUUCUCAGUGGUGUCCUUUACAUGUGAAACAAACAUGGGGAAGGAGAUCCAUUGCCUCCUCAAUGUAAUGGUGCCUGUGGCAAGAAGGUCUUUGUGCACUCAGAUGGCCCAGAGGAUCCAGCUGCCGAAGUCCUGCAGAGGCGGUGAAGAUUCCAGGGAAACCCUGACUAUAGAGAAGUAUUGGACUUCUAGACAGGUUCCUGCUUUGAGCUCCUGUCUUGGCUUCUUUUGGUGAUGGACUAUCAGCUGGAAAUGAAUGCAAACUCUUUCUUUCCCAAGAUGCUCAUGGUGAUGAUGUUUAUCACAGCAACCGAAACUUAACUAGAGCAAGUUGGAAAGAACUAUAGAAGAAACUCUCAAGAGAAAAAUCCAAGUGAUUUGUUCCCUGACAUAUUAAUAAAAACUAACAUAUGUGUUCUUUAGAAGGAGAUAAUUGCUCUGGUUCCUAACAAAGUUUUCAGAGUGAGGAAAUAAUUGGUCCCUUAGGAGUCAGUGCAGGAAACUUUUCAGCGCUUGAAAAUAUUUUUCUAAUCUAAUGAUUCCUCCCAUUUUGCUGAAAAUGAUCGGAUUCAUUGCUUUUCAUGAGUGAAUGGUAUUACCAUGUUUUCAUGAUCCAUCCACCAGUGCUAGGAAUCUAGUUUGAUCUAUAUCUUAGCUACAGACAUGAGCGUGAAGGCAUCUUUGUGAUGUUCUAAUUUCAUUUUCUUUGUAUUUAAAACAAAAAGUUUUGCUGUUGGGUCACACAGCAGUUAUAUUAAUAUGUUUUGAGGAAAUUGUUAUUCUCUAUGUUGUCAAUUCUAAUCUAUACUUCCAUCAUAAUGUAUAAAAAUCCCCUUUCUGCCACAUUCCUUGCUCACAUUUGUUACAUUUUUUCUUUUUGAUAAUAUUUAUUCUAACUAGGUUGAGAUAACCUGUUGUGGUUUAGAUUUUAAUA